Molecule: small RNA, 431 nt
Filed under: Pan troglodytes (chimpanzee)
Lineage: Eukaryota; Metazoa; Chordata; Mammalia; Primates; Hominidae
Description: processed transcript
Source: RNAcentral
AUGCGGACCUGUCCGUCACCGAAGCCAGCAGCUCCGACAGCCGAGGAGAGAGGGCCGAGCUCUAUGCACAGGUGGAGGAGGGUCUCCUGGGAGGAGAAGCCAGCUAUCUGGGCCCUCCCCUCACCCCGGAGAAGGACGACGCCCUGCAUCAGGCCACCGCGGUGGCCAACCUGCGCGCGGCGCUCAUGAGUAAGAACAGCCUGCUGUCGCUGAAGGCCGACGUGCUGGGGGAUGACGGCUCCCUGCUGUUCGAGUACCUGCCCAGAGGGGCCCACUCGCUGUCCCGAGUCAUUGGCUGAAUGCAAGCUCGUCCGGGUUGCGCAGGGGCCGGGGGUCUUUGUGCUCCAGAGACGGGCUCGGGCGCCCCCUGCCGGCCCCUCUGUCGCCUUCGUGCUGAGACUCGUUUCGCGCAAGGGAGAUGGGGGCGGCCG